RNAcentral lists this ribosomal RNA (544 nucleotides) under Clostridium perfringens. Its description in RNAcentral is "bacterial LSU rRNA". It matches the Rfam family "Bacterial large subunit ribosomal RNA", at positions 1 to 549 of the family's 2925-position model. Lineage: Bacteria; Bacillati; Bacillota; Clostridia; Eubacteriales; Clostridiaceae. The record is from RNAcentral.
AGGUCAAGCUACAAAGGGCGCAUGGUGAAUGCCUUGGCAUCAGGAGCCGAUGAAGGACGUGAUAAGCUGCGAUAAGCUUCGGGUAGGCGCACAUAGCCUGAGAUCCGAAGAUUUCCGAAUGAGGAAACUCACAUGGGAAACCCCAUGUAUCAUUAAGUGAAUACAUAGCUUAAUGAAGGUAACCCAGGGAACUGAAACAUCUAAGUACCUGGAGGAAGAGAAAGAAAAAUCGAUUUUCUUAGUAGCGGCGAGCGAAAAGGAAAGAGCCCAAACCGGAAACUUGUUUCCGGGGUUGUGGACAUAACAUAAAAGUGGAGGCUAUUGUAACUGAAGAGAACUGGAAAGUUCCACCGUAGAAGGUAAUAGUCCUGUAAGUGAAACGAGAAGACCACGAGUUAUGAUCCAGAGUACCACGAGACACGUGAAACCUUGUGGGAAGCAGGGAGGACCACCUCCCAAGGCUAAAUACUACCUGAUGACCGAUAGUGAAGCAGUACCGUGAGGGAAAGGUGAAAAGAACCCCGGGAGGGGAGUGAAAUAGAAC